Long non-coding RNA from Cyprinus carpio (common carp), 613 nucleotides. The record is from Ensembl. NCBI's taxonomy places the organism in Eukaryota, Metazoa, Chordata, Actinopteri, Cypriniformes, Cyprinidae.
GCCAUCCACAUAUCCAACAUAAAAGAGGCCCUGGUGCUAUCACUGGUGCAGAUAUUCCCGGCCCUGAAUGAUGGAUCAGACAGUGGCUAUGAAAUAUGGUACACAAAAGCCAGGAAGGUAAUGAAGGAUGGAGGAGUGAUCCACUACCCAGCCACAAGCUUCCUCGAAGAAAGACUAUGGAACGUUAGAAAGAGGUCAAACCGUGGGUCCACCCAACAAAUGCCUGAAGCCACCCAGUCACCAAGGGCAUACAUACCAGAAUCAACCGUUCCAGAAGAAAGGGCCCUCCAACAGAAGGAAUGGCUGAAACACAAUUCAGAGCCUUUCACCCAAGUGCAGUCCUACAUGAAGGACACAGUGUUAUGCAGACCCAGCUGGAUCCGGGCUAAUGGUAUGGUUCCACUGGAACAUAUAGUAGCAAUACCUUAUUUACAUUUUGUAUUAAAGGAGCGGAUAUCACAUUUUUUCCUUUGUAUCCUGUGUUUUUUUUGGAUUGCUGCAUGGUAAGGCUGCACCUAAAUUAUUUGAGACCUGGAUCCCUGAAUAUGCUAAAAAACGUUCCUGUACUUGGCCAAGCAGGACAAUAAACUCCCUUCACUUACUGUUGAGGACA